UUAAUCUUUUCCUAAGAUGACUUCUAUUGUUGUCACUGAAAAGCAAUUCCUUUGAGGAACAGGAUUCUCUCUGUAAAGAAAUGGUUAUAAUUCACAAAGAAAAUUUAAUGUUCACCAAUAGCUUUCCAGUUUCUCUAAACUUCCUAGACCAAAACCUCUGGACUCUCUUUCUGCAACUCUUUCAGAAGGAUUUCACUAAGAGCUUGGGCUAUCUUCCUUCCAAUUCCUGCUAUUCCUAUUGCUGUUGGUUGAAAUUCUCUGCUGCUAAGUGUCGGCAGUCUGACUCACUCUAGGGACGGAGAACAGGGGCCUUCACAUCGUGAAGUUCAAGGCUUCUGUAUGAGAAGGUCAGACGGUGCAACUACAACUGGUUAAAUAAAGGCCCAAGAAAGAAGGCAAAAAUCUUAUUCUGGAGAAGACUCCCAGGUUAUAGGAUUUACCUGAUUGACUCAGUCUACUGAGAAGGCCCCAAAUCUACUUUUCCAAUCAGCUGCGGACCUGGGAGUAGAAAGAAGCUUUAGAGCUGCAGUCUGGAGAGAUUCUGUCCACCACUAAAACCACGGCCCCUGAAUGACAUGAUCUCUGACCAGUCAGUUUACUCUUCCUCCUAUGGGGAGAAGGGUAUUAGGAUUUCAGCAAUCGGUGGAACCAACUGUAGCCUAACAUCCAGAAAGAAGACCAAAGGAAUGGCCUCACUACAGGGGACAUAUUGGCCAUGACAUAAACUACCUUGGGUUGUUGACCCAGUUUAUUUUCAAAGUCAUGACUCUUGGCUGGAAAAGUCUGCAAAGGAGAUCCCUAAAUAUAGUUCAUCAUCUUGGGGUUAUAUCCAUAAAAAGAGUAACAUUUUUUAUUUUUAAGUUAAAAGAGAAACAAUUACCACCUGAAAUCCAAAUAUAGUUUCGUGGCAGGAAGAAACAUACCAUUUAGCUGCAUUGCAUAUACAAUUACAUUCCCUGUGAACAUUAUUUCAACCAUCUCUAUUCUCACAUCAUUCCUUGCCAUACAACAGCCACAGGAAGCAUAGGAGCUCUCCCACAAAAUAAAAUAAAAUAAAAUAAAAAAAUAAAAUAUAUAA
Molecule: long non-coding RNA, 1078 nt
Organism: Pteropus alecto (black flying fox)
Lineage: Eukaryota; Metazoa; Chordata; Mammalia; Chiroptera; Pteropodidae
Exons: 3
Source: RefSeq, a predicted model, not a curated record